RNAcentral lists this ribosomal RNA (480 nucleotides) under uncultured bacterium. Its description in RNAcentral is "partial 16S ribosomal RNA". It matches the Rfam family "Bacterial small subunit ribosomal RNA", at positions 28 to 523 of the family's 1533-position model. The record is from RNAcentral.
GACGAACGCUGGCGGCGUGCCUAAUACAUGCAAGUCGAGCGAGAGAAUCUCCUUCGGGAGUGAAGCUAGCGGCGGACGGGUGAGUAACACGUGGGCAACCUGCCUCAUAGAGGGGAAUAGCCUUUCGAAAGGAAGAUUAAUACCGCAUAAGAUUGUAGCUUCGCAUGAAGUAGCAAUUAAAGGAGCAAUCCGCUAUGAGAUGGGCCCGCGGCGCAUUAGCUAGUUGGUGAGGUAACGGCUCACCAAGGCGACGAUGCGUAGCCGACCUGAGAGGGUGAUCGGCCACAUUGGGACUGAGACACGGCCCAGACUCCUACGGGAGGCAGCAGUGGGGAAUAUUGCACAAUGGGGGAAACCCUGAUGCAGCAACGCCGCGUGAGUGAUGACGGCCUUCGGGUUGUAAAGCUCUGUCUUCAGGGACGAUAAUGACGGUACCUGAGGAGGAAGCCACGGCUAACUACGUGCCAGCCGCCGCGGUAA